GCACAGUACAUCAACCCAUUGAAAAUAUCAGCACAGCAGCUUCAGAAACAGAAAUACUCUCCCUCACAGAGAGGGAGACAGUGGCUAAAGGUGAUUACAGAGGCAGCAGCAACCUCCCACCUUAACCUGAGCACUGCAGUCAGAGCUGUGCCACUGGUGAGCAAGAAUUCCCAGCAUCCCCAGAGAGUGGAGCAGAAUUCCACAGCUCCUAUUUUACAAGUCUGGGUUUGGGAUUCAGCCCGGCCAGGAGACGUCUUCCCAUCCAUUAGGCUGCAUGACAGCAGAGACAGGCCUACCUAAAGGACACCACUCCUGUAUUUACAGGAUCAGACAUGACUUGUCUGA
Molecule: long non-coding RNA, 345 nt
Filed under: Phasianus colchicus (ring-necked pheasant)
Lineage: Eukaryota; Metazoa; Chordata; Aves; Galliformes; Phasianidae
Description: lncRNA (ENSPCLG00000005111.1)
Source: RNAcentral